CCUACGGGAGGCAGCAGUGGGGAAUAUUGGACAAUGGGCGCAAGCCUGAUCCAGCCAUGCCGCGUGAGUGAUGAAGGCCCUAGGGUUGUAAAGCUCUUUCACCGGUGAAGAUAAUGACGGUAACCGGAGAAGAAGCCCCGGCUAACUUCGUGCCAGCAGCCGCGGUAAUACGAAGGGGGCUAGCGUUGUUCGGAAUUACUGGGCGUAAAGCGCACGUAGGCGGAUAUUUAAGUCAGGGGUGAAAUCCCGGGGCUCAACCCCGGAACUGCCUUUGAUACUGGGUAUCUAGAGUCCAGAAGAGGUGAGUGGAAUUCCGAGUGUAGAGGUGAAAUUCGUAGAUAUUCGGAGGAACACCAGUGGCGAAGGCGGCUCACUGGUCUGGUACUGACGCUGAGGUGCGAAAGCGUGGGGAGCAAACCAGGAUUAGAUACCCUGGUAGUCCACGCCGUAAACGACUGAAUGUUAGCCGUCGGGCAGUUUAACUGUUCGGUGGCGCAGCUAACGCAUUAAACAUUACCGCCUGGGGAGUACGGUCGCAAGAUUAAAACCUCAAAACGAGUAAGUACGACGUCGAGAACGUAGCCACGGACGACACACGGAGGUAGAGG
Molecule: ribosomal RNA, 608 nt
Filed under: uncultured bacterium
Lineage: Bacteria
Description: bacterial SSU rRNA
Rfam family: Bacterial small subunit ribosomal RNA
Source: RNAcentral